CUGGGGCAGCAGUUUGCUGCUAGAAGCUGAGGAGGCAAUAUCUGACUGAACUGCUGUUCAGAACAUCUUGGCGGAGCUGAGAUUGGGUCUGCUGCAUGGUAACUCAUAGCACUACGUCUCCACCCCAGCUCAACAAAACUCUUUUUGCAGUCUCUUCAAUGAACCUGUGCUACAAGGAGAAUUAAGGAAUACCACAGCAGGUGAGAAAGAAACUGCUGGGACAAGAGUGGAAAGGUGGAAAUGCCAGAAAAGAAGACUGGAAAUGAAGAAGAGAACAUGGCCCAGAAUUCCUGUUUGGAGCAGCCUAGUAAGAGCCAGUAUUUGUCAGGCAUUGUGUGAAGUGUGACAUGGGGUUUCAGGCAGAUUUCAGAAUUUGCAAAGUACACUGUAGAUAAAAAGUUUCUGUCAACUGGGAAGGGAACUGGGAAUCUGUCAGUGGAAGAAGAAAAGUUAGAUCAAGUACUGUAUGGAGAGAGAAGGUGGGCAGGGACUAGCUGAGCUCCAAGUAUAACUUUCCAUGUGGAGGAACAGAAUGUGGACUUGCCAGUAAAGGAGAUUAUUGGUGGAUGUUGAAUAGGCUUUUGACUGUGAAUACCCAUGGGGCCCUGGCUGGCCACACACCUAACAAGUGCACAAGGACAGCUUUGAUCCUAACAUGACCAUCAUUUUGGAGAAAGGAAUGAGGGUUAUUUAAAAUACUAAAUCUGGAAUUUAGGGAUAUAUGUAAAUGAAAGAUAUUCCUAUUGUAGUUCAGCAACAAACUUACUCUUGUGUUUCUUCUACAGAGCAACUGUCAGAUAAUGGCUGCUGAGCUCAUGUUUUAAGGUCAAUUACUUAUUCUUUGUAAAGCCAGGCAAGACACAUACACAAUAUAUUCUCCAAAAUAAGCAUACUUAAUAUGACUUGGUAAUAACAUGAGAGAAAACUAUCUCAAAGUUUAGAUUUAUCCAAAUGAUUAAUCUGACCAAAACAUGGGCACUACACUUAAUAACUACACAGAAACAAACGGAAAGUCUCUUGACUUUUGUCAAAUGACAUCUGGGCUGUGGGAUGCUAGAAAUGAAAUUUUCAUUGCAGCUCACUGAUUGAAAGAGAAUGUCACAGCUGACUCAGUUACUGUAGUGCAAACAACUUAACACAAGAUCAUCUAGUGAUAUGUCUGAGGAAUGGGAAAAUUCUUACAUACAGGUGCACUACUCACAUAUUCCAGGCCAGAAAUUCUUGAAUUUUCAUCUAAUUCAGGGGUGCUCAACCUCCAGCCCACAGGCCAAAUGCAACCCAUGGAGCCAUGGAAUCCAGUCCAUGGGGCUUCCCAUAGGUCAGGAAAUUUGGUGAGAGGGGAGCAGUGGCAAAUAAUACUGCCACCCUUCCCCACUGCCAAAUUCCCAAGCCCCCUGUGGCUAGACCAUAGCUGAGCCAUGCCCCCUUCUCCUAUGCAGCUGGAUUGGGACCAAGCCACUCCUUGACCCUCCCCCUCCCAUUCCCCCUGGUCAAAUCAGGCCAAGCAUAGCCACCCUAAGAUGGGAUCAGGCUCUCUGGCCAGAUCCAGUUUAUGACUAGAGACUGAGUGCUGUCCAUCUCACCCAAGUAGAAAGAAGGCUGGGCACCACUGAUCUAAUUCAUCCACUGAAAAAGUGAUAGGUUUAAAAAAAAAGUUUACCCUAUGUGAUACUUAAAUCCCAUUAUAAAAAGCUACUUAACUACCUAACAGUAUGUCUACACCGCAUACUGAAGCAAAGUAUAGAGUUACCAGAAGUGAACUGGUUUGAAUACUAAAAGCAGUCCAGCUGAAGUCUCAUGGAGCUGUGCUCAGAGUCAUUUUUCCUGCAGUGUGCAAUGUAGAUAUAUCUUAAGUCUCACUGCCUUUUAAUCUGAUGCUUUGGUCCUUCUAAAAGAUGAACCUGUCUCUGCUAAGUGAGACCAUGUGUUUGCCAUUGUGUACAAUAGUGUCUUGUCAGUGAUUACAGAAAUAAACAUUUAGCCCCUGUACCAUAGUUAUAACCUAGUAUCAUUCUAGGCUUGACCCUGGCCCUCUACCAGCUGCUCUUUACUUCUGCUCAGAUACUGCAUAACAGCCAGAAAUCUGCCCUAACAGAGUGGCAGGGGAUUCCUCUGACAUGAGGGAAAUCUCAGAAGUGUACAGCUGGACUAGCAAAAGUUGGAUUUCUAACAGUGAUGUCUUGCAUGUUAUUCAGUUGUUUUGUAACAUUCUAGAAUGGUUUAUUUAAUGUUUUGCCAUGUGACUCUCUGGUGGCUCAUUUCAAACCGUAACUGGCUUGAUAGACAUGGACCUUCAUCAGGAACACAGCUACCUAGAAGUUUAUCCAAGAAGUUCAGCCUGUCAUCCACAGUUCUAAUCAUGGUAACUGGUUCCCCUGUGAAUAUCCACAUUCACUUGGCAGAGAAAUCAGACUGCGUUUGCUAUGAUACAUUGCAUCCAAGACUAGAAAUAUUGCAGCUCCUCCAUCCUUAGUGAUCAUCUUUCCAAUUAUUAAUAAAGAGGUUG
This is a long non-coding RNA of Alligator mississippiensis (American alligator), 2506 nucleotides long. RefSeq lists it as uncharacterized. The transcript has 3 exons. The record is from RefSeq and is a predicted model, not a curated record. Lineage: Eukaryota; Metazoa; Chordata; Crocodylia; Alligatoridae.